Molecule: long non-coding RNA, 1707 nt
Organism: Vulpes vulpes (red fox)
Lineage: Eukaryota; Metazoa; Chordata; Mammalia; Carnivora; Canidae
Source: Ensembl
AAGGCCCCCCUCCCCCCGCCCCCGCACGGUCCCAGAGUGAGGGAGACGCUGGUAGCAGGGCCUCGGGGAGCUCGGAGACAGGGCGGCAGUGGCUCAGGCUUUAGCUCCGGCGCACACCUGUCCCUCCGCCCACAUCCAAGUUGCAUACCUGUCCCUCAGCCCACGUCCACGGUGCACAACUGUCCCUCAGCCCACGUCCAAGUUGCACACCUGUCCCUCAGCCCACGUCCACGGUGCACACCUGUCCCUCAGCCCACAUCCACGGUGCACACCUGUCCCUCAGCCCACGUCCAAGUUGCACACCUGUCCCUCAGCCCACGUCCACGGUGCACACCUGUCCCUCAGCCCACAUCCACGGUGCACACCUGUCCCUCAGCCCACGUCCAAGUUGCACACCUGUCCCUCAGCCCACGUCCACGGUGCACACCUGUCCCUCAGCCCACAUCCACGGUGCACACCUGUCCCUCAGCCCACGUCCAAGUUGCACACCUGUCCCUCAGCCCACGUCCACGGUGCACACCUGUCCCUCAGCCCACAUCCACGGUGCACACCUGUCCCUCAGCCCACGUCCAAGUUGCACACCUGUCCCUCAGCCCACGUCCACGGUGCACACCUGUCCCUCAGCCCACAUCCACGGUGCACACCUGUCCCUCAGCCCACGUCCAAGUUGCACACCUGUCCCUCAGCCCACGUCCACGGUGCACACCUGUCCCUCAGCCCACAUCCACGGUGCACACCUGUCCCUCAGCCCACGUCCAAGUUGCACACCUGUCCCUCAGCCCACGUCCACGGUGCACACCUGUCCCUCAGCCCACAUCCACGGUGCACACCUGUCCCUCAGCCCACGUCCAAGUUGCACACCUGUCCCUCAGCCCACGUCCACGGUGCACACCUGUCCCUCAGCCCACAUCCACGGUGCACACCUGUCCCUCAGCCCACGUCCACGGUGAACACCUGUCCCUCAGCCCACGUCCAUGGCCUGCACCUGUCCCUCAGCCCACAUCCAUGGCCUGCACCUGUCCUCCGCCCAUGUCCAUGGUGCACUCCUGUCCCUCAGCCCAUGUCCACGAUGCACACCUGUCCCUCAGCCCACGUCCAUGGUGCACACCUGUCCCUCAGCCCACGUCCAUGGCCUGCACCUGUCCCUCAGCCCACAUCCAUGGCCUGCACCUGUCCUCCGCCCAUGUCCAUGGUGCACUCCUGUCCCUCAGCCCAUGUCCACGAUGCACACCUGUCCCUCAGCCCACGUCCAUGGUGCACACCUGUCCCUCAGCCCACGUCCAUGGCCUGCACCUGUCCUCAACCCAUGUCCAUGGUGCACUCCUAUCCCUCAGCCCAUGUCCAUGGCGCACACCUGUCCCUCAGCCCACGUCCAUGGUGCACACCUGUCCCUCAGCCCACAUCCACGGCCCGCACCUGUCCCUCAGCCCACGUCCAUGGUGCACACCUGUCCCUCAGCCCACAUCCAUGGCCCGCACCUGUCCCUCAGCCCACAUCCACAGCGCACACCUGUCCCUCAGCCCACGUCAGGAGAUCCUCCCUGCAGGGCGCAGGGACGCGGGAACCCGAGUUCGAGUUCGCGGCCCAGCACAGCCCGCAGGGGACAGAGGAGCCUGGAUCUUCCCCGGCCCGCGCUCCCCGUCUGUCCUUCCCAUCAUCGCGGUCCACGCAAAGAUGAAGGAUGCAGCGCUGCGUGGUAGCUGCUGA